GCGGCGCCGCGAGCUCUAGCUCGAGAGAAAGGGCAGAGCAGAAGGGGCGGCCUCCGCCCAGAGACCGCGCCCGAUACCCUCCGCGAGGACUGGGUCGGGGGUCCGCCUAGGGUCCGGGGACCGGAGAAGGCGUUUUCCAGACCCAGCCAAAGCCCCAGCCCGUCACGGCUUUCCCUCAAGACAGAGUCCGUUCCCCUCACGCCCCGCCAAAGAGACAACGCGUCAGCUCAGCGAGAUCCAGUUCUUGUCUCAAGACCAGGAAGAAUUAAGUUUGCAGACACUUGAAGACAAAGAGAAUGUUUCCAGCUGCAAGAGAGAGCUAUCAGAGAGUCUGGCCUGCUGAUUACACUGUUUAAAAUCCCAGAUGAGCAAUUCUUCUGGUCUUCAAUAUGGCUAAACAAGACAUUUGACUUUUUUGAGUAGGUACAUCCAAACAUUAUUGGUUGAUCGAAAACUAAUCAAUGUUAACUGAACUCACAAAUGGCUGAAUUAUACCCAGAUUAAUCACGUAUUAAAAUAAGGGAUGUGCUUUUCUGGUGAACAAACAGUUCUGCCCAUCUUCAAAAGUUUUUUUUAUUGCUUUAUUUAUUUAUUAGCUUUGUAUGCUUUGUUCAAGCAACUGUGUGUUUUGUUUUGUUUUUAUGGACAACCAACAUAUAACAGAAAAUGAAGCUGCUAUGAUUGAAGAUAAACAACAGACCUGCCCAGCCUCAAGCUCCCCUUCCUUUCCUUUCCUUGAGAUGUUCCCUAAGAGGGCUCUUUAGAAUCCCCAAGACUUCAAAGAAUACAGUUUAACACCAACUUAUCUGAUGGUACCAAAUGGAUAAGCAGGUUGUUUGGUGAGCCUAGACCUGAAGCAAACAAAAUUAGAGGAAUACUACAUCCAAAUUCUGGGAAAUGUCUGAUGAGUUUUUUCUAGUUCCACAAUAGUAUACGCCUAUCUGAGAGAUAGGAAUCUGCAUUCCUGAUAGAAAGAAUCACUCUGCCUUCAACAGUGCUAAACAAUAGUGGGCCAGUAAACCAGCUUGCUGAAAACAAACAAAAUAACCCAAAAAGCCCUGGCUACAGCAAUUUGGCAUUUUCUGUGGUGUAAAACACUCUCACAGUGGUCUGUCAACAGAAUUUAACAACAGCUGGCAAAAAUUUCCUGAAUGUUUGUCAGUUCUUGUAAACCUGUACUAGCUGCCUUUAGCACACACUGGCAGAA
Long non-coding RNA from Callithrix jacchus (white-tufted-ear marmoset), 1207 nucleotides. RefSeq lists it as uncharacterized. The record is from RefSeq and is a predicted model, not a curated record. Lineage: Eukaryota; Metazoa; Chordata; Mammalia; Primates; Cebidae.